UACGAAGGGGGCUAGCGUUGCUCGGAAUCACUGGGCGUAAAGGGUGCGUAGGCGGGUCUUUAAGUCAGGGGUGAAAUCCUGGAGCUCAACUCCAGAACUGCCUUUGAUACUGAAGAUCUUGAGUUCGGGAGAGGUGAGUGGAACUGCGAGUGUAGAGGUGAAAUUCGUAGAUAUUCGCAAGAACACCGGUGGCGAAGGCGGGUCUCUGGGCCGAUACUGACGCUGAGGAGCGAAAGCGUGGGGAGCGAACAGG
This 253-nucleotide ribosomal RNA is filed under the name uncultured bacterium. RNAcentral's name for it is "partial 16S ribosomal RNA". It matches the Rfam family "Bacterial small subunit ribosomal RNA", at positions 524 to 776 of the family's 1533-position model. The record is from RNAcentral.